Molecule: ribosomal RNA, 462 nt
Filed under: Prosadenoporus winsori
Lineage: Eukaryota; Metazoa; Nemertea; Enopla; Monostilifera; Prosorhochmidae
Description: partial 16S ribosomal RNA
Rfam family: Bacterial large subunit ribosomal RNA
Source: RNAcentral
AGUUUUUUGUUUAUUGUAAUAAAAAAUGUUUUCUGCUCGGUGAUUUUUAACAGCCGCGGUAAUUUGACCGUGCAAAGGUAGCAUAAUCAUUUGCUUCAUAAUUGGAGGCUGGAAUGAAUGGGAUAACAAGGCUUUUGCUUUAUUUUGGAGAUGAUAAGAAUUUGCUUUUUUAGUGAAGAAGCUAAAAUUUUUUUAUGGGACAAGAAGACCCUUUUGAGCUUUAUUAAAUAAUUCUUUUUUUAAGUGUUUUUAAUUUGGUUGGGGCGACCAAGGAAGAGUGAUCUUCCUUUUUAACUUUGAUCCAAUGGUUUUGAUCGAUGGAAUAAGUUACCGAAGGGAUAACAGCGUAAUUUUUUUUGUGAGUUCUUAUUAAAAAAAAAGAUUGCGACCUCGAUGUUGACUUAUAAUUAUCCUUUUGGUGCAGCAGCUGAAAUGGUGGGUCUGUUCGACCUUUAAAAUUUU